Molecule: ribosomal RNA, 129 nt
Filed under: Danio rerio (zebrafish)
Lineage: Eukaryota; Metazoa; Chordata; Actinopteri; Cypriniformes; Danionidae
Source: RNAcentral
AGCGAUGACACAUUUUUUGCUUAAUCGAAAAGAUCACCCAGCCUAAGUUACCCACUGAAGCUAAGCAGGGUUGAGCCUGGCCAGUACCUGGAUGUGAAACCACAUGGGAAAACUAGAUUGCUGUCGUUA